AAAGUGGCUCAGGGGUAGAGCAAUUCACUCGUAAUGAAUAGGUCGCGGGUUCGAUUCCCGCCUUUG
This 66-nucleotide transfer RNA is filed under the name uncultured Saccharofermentans sp. It matches the Rfam family "tRNA". Rfam says of the family: Transfer RNA (tRNA) molecules are approximately 80 nucleotides in length. Their secondary structure includes four short double-helical elements and three loops (D, anti-codon, and T loops). Lineage: Bacteria; Bacillati; Bacillota; Clostridia; Eubacteriales; Oscillospiraceae. The record is from RNAcentral.